Long non-coding RNA from Canis lupus familiaris (dog), 674 nucleotides. RefSeq lists it as uncharacterized. The transcript is spliced from 4 exons. NCBI's taxonomy places the organism in Eukaryota, Metazoa, Chordata, Mammalia, Carnivora, Canidae. The record is from RefSeq and is a predicted model, not a curated record.
CGGCUUUCUCAUUGACCCCCGAUACCGUUGCCUAGAAACAAUUUUAAACGGAAAACAGAGUAGGAGGGGGAAAGAUGGUGGAACUGUAGGGUCCCCAAGUCACCUGUCCCCACUAAAUUACCUAAAUAACUUUCAAAUCAUCCUGAAAACCUACAAAUUCGGCCUGAGAUUUAAAGAAAGAACAGCUGGAAUGCUACAGUGAGAAGAGUUCACUCUUCUAUCACGGAAGAGACACCAGAGACCUUGCUCUUUCUCUGCCAUAUGAGGACAAGUGAGAAGACAGCCGUCAGCAAGCCGGGAAGAGCACUCUCACGCGAAACCCAUCCUGCUGGACCUUGAUCCUGGACUUCUAGCCUCCAGAACAGAGAAAAUAAGUUUCUGCUGCUCACAGCACCAGUCUGCAGCCUGAGCUGAAGUUCUGCACCUGACAAAAGAAGUUGCUGAACAGAUGAGGGAAGGAGAGGAGAGAUUAAGCAAAUUCCACCUAAUUCUAGGCACGUGCUUGUGAUAUAAGGUAUCAUGCCUCUUGGUGUAUUAUUCUUCGAUCAAGAUUGCCUAACUUCAAAUGAAGAACUCCACUUCAGAGCUCUGCUUAUAUAUAAGACUAUUACCUGAGGAAUUAUUACUAGGCUGAUUUUCAGUUAUGUGUCCUGGUAUUAAUAAAUCCUUGUUAU